AGGUCAGGGUGGAGCAGAGCUGUCUGUCAAACUAGAGGUCAGGGGUUAGAGGUCAGGGUGGAGCAGAGCUGUCUGUCAAACUAGAGGUCAGGGGUUAGAGGUCAGGGUGGAGCAGAGCUGUCUGUCAAACUAGAGGUCAGGGGUUAGAGGUCAGGGGUGGAGCAGAGCUGUCUGUCAAACUAGAGGUCAGGG
Molecule: non-coding RNA, 192 nt
Organism: Salvelinus sp. IW2-2015
Lineage: Eukaryota; Metazoa; Chordata; Actinopteri; Salmoniformes; Salmonidae
Source: RefSeq, a predicted model, not a curated record